This 74-nucleotide transfer RNA is filed under the name Cupriavidus sp. OV038. Its description in RNAcentral is "tRNA_Gly_TCC". It matches the Rfam family "tRNA". From Rfam's summary of the family: Transfer RNA (tRNA) molecules are approximately 80 nucleotides in length. Their secondary structure includes four short double-helical elements and three loops (D, anti-codon, and T loops). Further hydrogen bonds mediate the characteristic L-shaped molecular structure. tRNAs have two regions of fundamental functional importance: the anti-codon, which is responsible for specific mRNA codon recognition, and the 3' end, to which the tRNAs corresponding amino acid is attached (by aminoacyl-tRNA synthetases). tRNAs cope with the degeneracy of the genetic code in two manners: having more than one tRNA (with a specific anti-codon) for a particular amino acid; and 'wobble' base-pairing, i.e. permitting non-standard base-pairing at the 3rd anti-codon position. The record is from RNAcentral. Lineage: Bacteria; Pseudomonadati; Pseudomonadota; Betaproteobacteria; Burkholderiales; Burkholderiaceae. RNAcentral also lists the same sequence under 1 other name.
GCGGGCCGGGCCGAGCGGUAAGGCAGCGGCCCUCCAAGCCGCCUGGACCGAUUCGAAUCCGGUAGCCCGCUCCA